RNAcentral lists this non-coding RNA (21 nucleotides) under Arabidopsis thaliana (thale cress). The record is from RNAcentral. Lineage: Eukaryota; Viridiplantae; Streptophyta; Magnoliopsida; Brassicales; Brassicaceae.
UCAAUUUCAGCAGCCGAAUUU